Dipodomys ordii (Ord's kangaroo rat) is the source of this 65-nucleotide non-coding RNA. The record is from Rfam. Lineage: Eukaryota; Metazoa; Chordata; Mammalia; Rodentia; Heteromyidae.
GGUGGCUCAGUGAUAGAGCACUUGCCUUGCAUGCAUAAGGCCCUGGGUUCGAUUCCUCAGCACCA